RNA transcript from Alligator sinensis (Chinese alligator), 7336 nucleotides. It is a transcript of the gene named fragile histidine triad, with no coding region annotated. The transcript is spliced from 3 exons. NCBI's taxonomy places the organism in Eukaryota, Metazoa, Chordata, Crocodylia, Alligatoridae. The record is from RefSeq and is a predicted model, not a curated record.
UCCAUUGUGCGGCCGUUGCGGGGGCGGGCGCGGGCGGGAGGCCGUGAGGGCCGGGCCGGGCCCUUUAGCUCCGCCUCGCUCGUGAGGGGGCUCGUCGUGCCGGAGGGCACUGACCGUGAGCACGGACACCGCGGGCACGGGGGCGGGAAAGUGACGAGGGGGCUGCGCCUGAAAGCUCGCUAAGAACUUUGUCAUCCAACUGCUCAGUUAGUGUAACGAGAGAGAUCGCGUCUCCCAAAGCACCUGGCCUGCCUGUGUCCUUGCACCAACACGGCUACAGCCGGAACCCAGCGCACGGCCGCGUGCGGCUACCGCGCAGUAAGGAGAGAAACACUCUGUUUAGGAUCUCGGGAUUUGCCGGUCUUAGAAGCAAAAGCACACCCAACUUUGACGCGCUGCCUAGAAACCAGAGGGUCCUCUUCCUCAUACAAAGGUGGAAAAUAAAAGGUUUUUUUCCCCUUCUCUUCUUGAAUUGCACAGAGGGAGAGCGAACAACUUCCUCCGAGGCCAGUGCCUGCUCUUUGACUCUCCUGACAGAAGUAUACUUGUCAUCACCUUUUCUCUGGAGCCCAGUUGCCUAAUCUCUGCCAGAUGCCUAGAGAGAUUCUGUAUUCACACCUGGACCCAGGACUCUUAGACUUCUGUACUGACUCUAAAAAAUAUAUUAAGAUAACUUUUUAUUUAAUGUUAUGGUUUUUUUUUUCCUUAAGCAGUUAUUUUUGUCAUGCUCAUCUUUAUGAUAUUUAAAAAUAUAUGUGGCUAGGUGGAGACGGAAACAGAUUAACGCUGUACAAAUCUGAUUAAAAUUAUCUGGGCUGUUUCAAAGGUCAGGUGCACUCAAUGAAUUUGCUUUGAAAUUAUUUUGUUUAUUCUGUAUACAUAUGCAUCUUGAGCUCUCUAAAGGUCAGGAGAGGUGCUAGUUUGUGGAAUUUAAAGUAAUAAAAGGUUUGCAUUGUUGGUAACCCUUGUUAAUUACUCUUAAACUAAUAAAAAAUAAAUUCCCAGUGUUCACUUGCUGGUUUGUUUUUCUCUGAAAUUUCUCAGGUAAAAUUAAAAGUCUGAGACUUGCUCUAGAUUAAAAAUGCAUUGAUGAUAUACAUAUAUAAUAUACAUUAUUAUGUGUAUUUACUUUUUAAAUUAUGUUUAUAGCAUCAAUGAGUAACAUUUUUUUCCAGCUAAAAUAACUUAUUUGGAAGAUAUACAAUAUUUAACUGGCUUGAGCCACAUGUGGCUUAAUAAGGUAGGAAAGAAACCCCUAGAAUUUCCAAUAGUCCUGUUCAUUAACAUUCAGGAGGAAUAAUAAUCAAAACCACAAAAGGAUUCAUGUCUGAGUCAGUGAAGCAUGGCUAAUUACAGUUUUCAGCUGCACAACCAAUAACAAUCAGUAAGAAACUGGGCCUCUAUUAAAUACAUAUUUCUGGAGAUUUGGGGAGGGGAGGAAAAAAACUGCACUUGAAACGUGUCUAAGUAGUUUUGUCAUAAAAACAAUGACUCUGUCACCCAAGGCCUUUUCCAUUACAUUGACAUUGUGUUAGCAUUACAGAGUGGUUGAGAUCAUAUUUGCAUUGAUUUUUUUUUAAAUGAUGAAAACAGGUCAGAGAAAUGAAGAGAUUUUCAAGACAACAGUAAUGGCUUCUUACUUAAAUGUUAAUACAUUUGGUAAAGUUUACAUUUACUUUGAAAAUUGUAUCUGUUGCUGAACCUAAUCAGCAGAUUUUGCUCUGUUUAUAGAUCAAAACCGUUUUGACAUUACAUCUUUUCCCUUGAGCUGACUUUGUCUAUUGGGAGAUGAAAUCUGAAUGAGGUAGGAUGUGGAGUUGUAUUACCUGAAUGUGCAGAAAGUGAGGGCCUUACUGAAAGACAGUAUUUUAACACGCAUUUUAUAGGAAGUUUGGACUCUUCUCCCCGUCCCCCCCCAAUAAUGUCAAUAUUAGAUAAUUAUUCUGUGUCCUGUUUAUGAGUAAGAGGAUAUUAAUCUCCUUUAAAGAACUGCAACUCUUUCUCUGGUAAAUAACACGUUUUUUAACUGGAGGGUUAGACUCACUCACAAGAGAUGGAUUCAGAAUAUGUCCACAUGGCAGUGGCAGGAGUGACUGAAGCGCUCAUAGAAAUACCUAAGCUAUCUUAAAAUUACCUAGCCUGGGUAUUGCAGGCAACAUUUCCAUGCUUCUGCAGGAUUUGUGAUGAGCCGUAAAACCUUGCUUAGGAGCUGGGUGCUUGACUAGUCUAUCCACACUGAUGUUGUGGCUAUCCAAUAAUUAUUAAUCAAGCUAGCUAGUUUAAAGUUAGCAGGCGUGUCUGCUAUUUUUUUUUAAUCUCGGUGUUAGUGUUUGCAUUGCUCAUGAAUAUCUGCAGUGCCUGCGUCUUGCUGCUCUUCACAGUUUUUUCCAUCCAUCAACAGUAACCUGUAACGGACACGAAUCUGGUAGGUUUCUUAAUAGCACUAAAACUGUCUGGAGUCUCGCAGAACCUACCUCAAUGCUGCUUGGCAAAAUUAACAGCAGCGGAGGCAUUGGCGCUGUCUUUCUGCAGGCUCAGGAGGAUGAUACUGAGUAAUUUUGGGAUUAUGUUUGGGAAGUUGCCCUUGUAUCUAAAGAAGAAGAGAUGGAUAUUUUUUAUGUGAAAUCUUAAAUUUUGCAGACGUUGAUAUUUCAGUUCCCAGUAGCCACCAUGGAAAGCUUCCAGUUGACACAAAAGCAGUUGUGUUUGGCAAUCUGAUAAAAGGAUUGAAUGAAAUUUAGAAAUGGCGUAGAAUACUGUAAAAUGCUUAGAAACAAAAUACAGCUUACACUAUGAAAAACGUUUAAGAUUCUUUGCAUGCCCUACGUAGGUUAGCCUCUAACGUGUAACAAGGCUUAUGCCAUUCUUCAUCUUUCACAGGUUUCAUAAAUAACUUAUUGUACCAUAUUGUGAUAUCAGCAUGUUUUAUGUCAGCGUCACUUAAUGUGACGUGUUGAUGUGAUGUUUUAUAAGGGGGGUAGGUAAGGACAGCCGUAUGUUUCCGUCAGAUAUACCAUGAUGGCAUGUGUUUACGCUUAGCACUGAAUAUCAGAAUCAGCAGUUAGAGCUUUACACCUAACCUACUAGGGGAAAACCAGAGUAUUAACAUACCUUGAUCUUUGGGAGAAGAUAAGAAACAGUCAUUCUCAGGAGAGGGGCAGGGUUAUGAUUCCCUGGUCCAAAUAAUCAGGCUUAGUUAGAAUUGGAUGCUUUGUCCUGUCAUUCAGCUCUCAUUUUCAAAUGACUUUGCUGGGAGACUGCACCAUGUCAGCUCUUUGCAUUACAGUAUUUAGUAUAUAUACAGCUACCAUGAUAAUACUUGGAGGUUUCUAAAAUUGAUUAGUUAAAAUUUACCUCUUUCUCCCUAAGGCCUAUAACGUACAGCUGGACUUGUGUUUGAUUGUCUGACUUCAGAAAUUAAGGAACAGAAAAAAUGGCAUUCAUAAAGAAAAGUUUGAAAAUCCCAGAAAUCUUUUCUUUUUACAAUCAUGUGGUCUUUGUCACUGGGGUCCAAUCCUGUGUGGUGGCGAGCACCUCUUGAGACAUGAUGAGGACACUUUGUGCUUAACAAGGUCUCUCCAGUUAGGAGUUUAGUAGUUAUUUUAAAGUCAGGCCAGUGACAUCUUUAUAUUUCUCCUUGUCUUUUAACUUACGUGCACAUGCAUGUGUAUGCCAGCGUGUGUGCAUCCUGGCACUCGUGACUGAAUUUGUACUGCUCAAUAUCAUAACUCAUUUUCCUGACACAUCUUGCACUGAAGAGUUCAUCAGAAGGUUACUUUAUAAUGUUGUAAAUUCAUUUUUCAGCAUGGUGAAUCCUUGGGGAGAUUGUUCUGCUGGACAGUUUCAAAUUGGUAUAGCUUUAUAUUUUGUAAGAACAAAAAAGGAAGAAAGGAGCUUAACAUACGUUAUCUUUGAGACCUCAAAACUUGAAGUAGAAAUGACAUUGAAAGCUCAGAAUAUAAAUCCAUUACUCGAACACUAUCUAUUGUUAUUCUUACUGUACGACAAAUUCGGGUACCACUAAAAGUAGUGAGAAUUUUGUGCCAUUAACCACUCAUAUUAGGGUUUUGCGCAAUUCAUUUUCUGCUUUAAUCAGUUAUGAUAUUUCCACAAAGUAUCCUUCCAAUUAUUCAGAUAAGUAGAAUUACUAAAGCUGCCUUCAUAGAAGCUUACUUCUGAAGUAGCAGUAUUUUUUUGAGUUUCAAUAUAUGCAUAUUUUAAUUAUCUUUGCAUGUGCAUUAGAUGUAGUAAGAUGGAACUUCACUCCUUAAAUUGCUUCUGCAAUAAAUCAACAUUUUUUUUAGGCUCAGUCCUGUUUCCAUUGAAAUCAGUGGCAAAACUCUUAACAAGAGUAGAAGUGGACCUACUUUCUGUAUUUGGUAAUUAAAUUAAUAUGAACAUACCAAAGAGACAGUGACUGUUUUGUGCAGUACAGUCCUGCCCAAGCCUCCCACCAGACACCUUCACCCUUGUGAAGAUGAAGGUAGUGUAUAACAUCCCAUUUAAUGACAGAGUCCAGAAAAAUGUCACGGUCUUGUGGAACAGAACUCAUUGAAUCACUUAAUAAGCACAGUAUGAGAGUGUACACACAGGAACGAAAUACUGCAUGUUUUAUGAAAAGGAAACAGCAUGUCUUCUCAAUAUACCAGGCUCAUUACAGCUUAAUAGGAAAAGAAAAAGGAGAAAAAAAAUCUAAGUGAAGUUGUCACCUAACAGCCCAAGAAUUAGAUAGGCAACACUGCUUCCACAUGUUAGAUUGUGUAUCUUCAGUACCUGGUUAUCCCUAAAGUCCACAUGUCCUUUGCCACAGCAAUCCUGGAUCUAUUAGUGGAUGGCUGGUGAGCUAUUAUGAAAAUAGUCUUUAAAUAAAGGAUGCUGCCUCAGUUUUAUGAGCCCUAGCAAACACAAGUUAUUGGGCGAGUGCUUGCAUAGCAGUUGAAUCUCAGUGGACUGGUAUUCAGUUCUGGUGAGGUAGGAAUGCCUUUUUUCCUGAAGGUUGCCUGUGAAUUCUGCAAGUAGAAAGUUUGCAGAUUCACCAGGUUUCCCCUUGUUUGCGUCUGAGGUAUGUUACCAUAAACAUUAAUCAUGUAUGUUAUGUAACAUAGAGGAAGUAAACAAGACUCUUCAAAUAAUCAUUACUCAUUCUGUUCCCAUGCGUUACCUACUUAUUCUGUUCUCUACUUUGGACAACGCACUGAUGGUGGUUUAUGUUGCUAAAUAGAAUGGAGUUUUAGUUGCGUUUCAGUUGGUCUCUUUGUUCACUGUGUAUGGAGUAUAUUUUUGAGAGUUUUAACAAAAAUACUGAAGAAUUCAGACAUAGAGUAAAUUGAUGAUAAUAUUGAAGAUAAACAUAUCAAUCAGAAAAAUAUCUUUAAUAGUGUAGUGUUUAAAUGACUUCUUAUGAGCACUUAAGAUUCUCAUUAGUCCAACAUCAGAAGACUAAUGAAUAUUAAUGUAUAAGAUCAAAGAAAUAUUUAAAAAUCAAAGGAAGUAAACAACAAUUAUACUUUUAAGGAUUAUAUAAUGGACAAGUUUUUAGCUACCCCAAACUUUCAUAGAGUUGGUCACUUAAAAUGCUGACUGUUCUCAGUGGUGGGGCUUUUUUUGUUACCGUAUACAGUAGAGGCAAUUGUGUAAUGCAAACAAAACAGUAAAAUGAAUAAAUGCAUCAAAACCUACAAUAUAUAGAUUAUGCACCUAGGAUAUGAAUUCAUGAUACUAUCAAUGAGUCGGAGAUUAAUUUUAAUAUUUUAAAUACUUACAGAGAGAUUCAAUAAUCCUUCAAUCUACUUCUAAAAUGGCACAUUCUUUGUGAUUAUCAAUGACAAAUGGAAGUUUUAGCUAAGUAGAUUGCAUUAAAUACCUUCUCAGAGUAGAUUUUAGCCUUUUGGGUAAGUUGGUAGCUUCAUAGUUGGCAGUUAGAAAUGUUUGAGUGGAAACUGAAUUCUGCUUUAUAUGAUUAAAUGUAAGAAUGAGAGUGACUUUGCAAAUAAGAGAUUCAGUAACAAAACAAAUGUUUUUUUAAAAGAAUAACAUGCAGAGUUUGAAUGGUAAAAUUUAAUACUGUAUUAUUUAAAAUAUAUUGUUGUUAUAGCUAUCCAUUGGAAACUGGAAUUUUGCUUUCUCAUUUUGUCUGUGGUGUGCUAAACUGUCCUUGUAAAAAUUUUGGAAAGAGGUGGCAGUGACAUCGGCAGUUACGGUUGUGAUAGCACUCCCAUUUUCAUUUUCUUUUUCCAGCAAUAUAUUGUUGAGGUAUGGUGAUCCUCAGAAUAUCCUCUUUUGCGGGGCAAAGUGACAUGCCAUGAUAUGCAAAUGAAAUAUAUUUUUUCAGAGUUUGGCGUGGAGAACUACGGCUGCAUAAUAUCUUAAAAUCUUCUGGUGCUAGUGCAAUCAGCCUGAAGUUGUCUCUAAAGAGGCUCUUUGUACCUUCUUGAUUGGUGUUACAGAAAAUUUUAUGGCCAAGUUUUGAAAAAUAUUGCCUGCUCCAGAUUGAAUAGUAGGGUAGGAUGCUGUUAGGGAGCACAAGCAGAAAAACACCUCCUGUUCUGCACGUGUGCAGAAAACAGCUUUUGCUCUGCACAUGCUGAAACACUAUGUAGAUGCUCUCACGAGAAUGAUGCUCCAUGAAUUGUGUGUGUCACUAUUUGGCCUUUUUUCCAGCUAAGGGAAGACAGUUUAUUCAUGGAGUUGUGUUCACCCCACCUAGGGGGAUGUCUUAUUGGCUUGGCUAGAAGGCUAAUUUAAAUUAACGUACAGGAAGGAGGUGAAAUCUGAGAUACUUCUAUGGGCAUGGCUAUAUUGCGUUGGAUGGUGCUAAGGUGCACAGCUGGGAAAACAUGUCCUCUCUCUGCCUUCGUCCCUUGCACGUACGCAUAUUCGAUUCCAUUCUGCAUAGAGCAUUGGCCACGUACAACUUAAUAGGCCAGGAACCUUGAGGUUCACUUAUGUACACAGUUUCAGUAAAUGUAUAAUGUUCAAGACUGUGGAUUUUGAAGAAAAGCAAUUUUAGAUGUGAAUGAAUAAGGGCUUUCAUGAUCACAUAUCAGAGCAGGGUCAGAACCAUCUUCAUCUUAACAUCCGUUGUUAGAGAAAUAAUUUACAAGUCAUGAUUGUCAGCUGCCUGUACAAAAUGACUCGGAGGUGAACAAAUGCAAACCAGUAAUGUUAUGGGGUAGAAUUGUUUGCUCUUGCUGUAGUAGCAUAAUGGAAAUACCACCUGUACGGUGAAUUGAUGUCAUUGGAAUAAAGUUGAUUUUUCAAAUAAAAUGUAUCAGUCCUUCUUGUGCAUUUAUUAUAAUGCAAUCAGUAAUUCCACUGUAAUGUAAUAAAAAAAAGU